CGAGAAGAAAGGAGCACCUGUGUAAUGUGACAGUUGGAUGACAUGACCAUAUUUUAAGGAAUAUAAGAUGGAUGAGGAAUGGCAAGCUCUCAGUAUAAGGCUCACAAGAAGAAGAAUCCUUGUGCUGAGGAACCCUAUACACUCUUACAUACUGGAUCCAGAUUUCCAGCGCUGGAGGUCUGUGGUGAACCACCCACUGCUGGCAGCGGUCUAACCCGGCUGAGGCAGCGGAUGGGGUGGGUGUUGAAUCCCGUGGAGAGCACUGGAGACCAGACCAGCCCUGCUGAAUCAUGCUAA
RNAcentral lists this long non-coding RNA (297 nucleotides) under Carassius auratus (goldfish). RNAcentral describes it as "lncRNA (ENSCARG00000062021.1)". Lineage: Eukaryota; Metazoa; Chordata; Actinopteri; Cypriniformes; Cyprinidae. The record is from RNAcentral.